This 274-nucleotide ribosomal RNA is filed under the name uncultured bacterium. RNAcentral describes it as "partial 16S ribosomal RNA". It matches the Rfam family "Bacterial small subunit ribosomal RNA", at positions 523 to 796 of the family's 1533-position model. The record is from RNAcentral.
AUACGGAGGGGGUUAGCGUUGUUCGGAAUUACUGGGCGUAAAGCGCACGUAGGCGGACUGGAAAGUUGGGGGUGAAAUCCCGGGGCUCAACCCCGGAACUGCCUCCAAAACUUCCAAUCUAGAGAUCGAGAGAGGUGAGUGGAAUUCCAAGUGUAGAGGUGAAAUUCGUAGAUAUUUGGAGGAACACCGGUGGCGAAGGCGGCUCACUGGCUCGAUACUGACGCUGAGGUGCGAAAGCGUGGGGAGCAAACAGGAUUAGAUACCCCGGUAGUCC